This 700-nucleotide ribosomal RNA is filed under the name uncultured bacterium. RNAcentral's name for it is "bacterial SSU rRNA". It matches the Rfam family "Bacterial small subunit ribosomal RNA", at positions 94 to 828 of the family's 1533-position model. The record is from RNAcentral.
AGUGGCGGACGGGUGAGUAACGCGUAAGAAUCUAACUUCAGGACGGGGACAACAGUGGGAAACGACUGCUAAUACCCGAUGUGCCGCGAGGUGAAACCUAAUUGGCCUGAAGAAGAGCUUGCGUCUGAUUAGCUAGUUGGUGGGGUAAGAGCCUACCAAGGCGACGAUCAGUAGCUGGUCUGAGAGGAUGAGCAGCCACACUGGGACUGAGACACGGCCCAGACUCCUACGGGAGGCAGCAGUGGGGAAUUUUCCGCAAUGGGCGAAAGCCUGACGGAGCAACGCCGCGUGAGGGAGGAAGGUCUUUGGAUUGUAAACCUCUUUUCUCAAGGAAGAAGUUCUGACGGUACUUGAGGAAUCAGCCUCGGCUAACUCCGUGCCAGCAGCCGCGGUAAUACGGGGGAGGCAAGCGUUAUCCGGAAUUAUUGGGCGUAAAGCGUCCGCAGGUGGUCAGCCAAGUCUGCCGUCAAAUCAGGUUGCUUAACGACCUAAAGGCGGUGGAGACUGGCAGACUAGAGAGCAGUAGGGGUAGCAGGAAUUCCCAGUGUAGCGGUGAAAUGCGUAGAGAUUGGGAAGAACAUCGGUGGCGAAAGCGUGCUACUGGGCUGUAUCUGACACUCAGGGACGAAAGCUAGGGGAGCGAAAGGGAUUAGAUACCCCUGUAGUCCUAGCCGUAAACGAUGGAUACUAGGCGUGGCUU